Molecule: ribosomal RNA, 232 nt
Filed under: uncultured bacterium
Lineage: Bacteria
Description: partial 16S ribosomal RNA
Rfam family: Bacterial small subunit ribosomal RNA
Source: RNAcentral
CGGACGGGUGAGUAAUGUCUGGGAAACUGCCUGAUGGAGGGGGAUAACUACUGGAAACGGUAGCUAAUACCGCAUAACGUCGCAAGACCAGAGAGGGGGACCUUCGGGCCUCUUGCCAUCGGAUGUGCCCAGAUGGGAUUAGCUAGUAGGUGGGGUAACGGCUCACCUAGGCGACGAUCCCUAGCUGGUCUGAGAGGAUGACCAGCCACACUGGAACUGAGACACGGUCCAG